AGAGCGAACGCUGGCGGCAGGCCUAACACAUGCAAGUCGAGCGGGCGUAGCAAUACGUCAGCGGCAGACGGGUGAGUAACGCGUGGGAACAUACCUUUUGGUUCGGAACAACCCAGGGAAACUUGGGCUAAAUACCGGAUAAGCCCUUACGGGGAAAGAUUUAUCGCCGAAAGAUUGGCCCGCGUCUGAUUAGCUAGUUGGUGAGGUAACGGCUCACCAAGGCGACGAUCAGUAGCUGGUCUGAGAGGAUGAUCAGCCACAUUGGGACUGAGACACGGCCCAAACUCCUACGGGAGGCAGCAGUGGGGAAUAUUGGACAAUGGGCGCAAGCCUGAUCCAGCCAUGCCGCGUGAGUGAUGAAGGCCCUAGGGUUGUAAAGCUCUUUUGUGCGGGAAGAUAAUGACGGUACCGCAAGAAUAAGCCCCGGCUAACUUCGCGCCAGCAGCCGC
RNAcentral lists this ribosomal RNA (449 nucleotides) under uncultured bacterium. RNAcentral's name for it is "SSU rRNA". It matches the Rfam family "Bacterial small subunit ribosomal RNA", at positions 26 to 518 of the family's 1533-position model. The record is from RNAcentral.